This 794-nucleotide ribosomal RNA is filed under the name uncultured archaeon. Its description in RNAcentral is "bacterial SSU rRNA". It matches the Rfam family "Archaeal small subunit ribosomal RNA", at positions 21 to 794 of the family's 1478-position model. The record is from RNAcentral.
CCUGACUGCUAUUGGGGUAAGGCUAAGCCAUGGGAGCCGAACGCCCUAUCACUAUAGGGCGUGACGCACGGCUGAGUAACACGUAGCUAACCUACCCUCGGGACUGGGAUAACUCCGGGAAACUGGAGCUAAACCCGGAUAGGUGAGGAGUCCUGGAAUGGUUCCUCACUUAAAGAGAUCUUAGGGGUUGCUGCCUAAGAUCUGCCCGAGGAUGGGGCUACGGCCCAUCAUGGUAGUUGGCGGGGUAAUGGCCCGCCAAGCCUACGACGGGUAGGGGCCCUGGGAGGGGGAGCCCCCAGAUGGACCCUGAGACAAGGGUCCAGGCCCUACGGGGCGCACCAGGCGCGAAACCUCUGCAAUGCGGGAAACCGUGACAGGGUUACCCCAAGUGCUCCCGUUAAGGGAGCUUUUCCUCGCUGUAAGGGGGCGAGGGAAUAAGCGGGGGGCAAGACUGGUGUCAGCCGCCGCGGUAAUACCAGCCCCGCGAGUGGUCAGGACGAUUACUGGGCCUAAAGCGCCCGUAGCCGGUCUAGCAAGUCCUCUCUGAAAGCUCCGGGCCUAACCCGGAGAGCGGAGAGGAUACUGCUAGGCUAGGGGGCGGGAAAGGCCGGGGGUACUCCUAGGGUAGGGGCGAAAUCCGAUAAUCCUAGGAGGACCACCAGUGGCGAAGGCGCCCGGCUGGAACGCGCCCGACGGUGAGGGGCGAAAGCUGGGGGAGCGAACCGGAUUAGAUACCCGGGUAGUCCCAGCUGUAAACGAUGCAGGCUAGGUGUUAGAUGGGCGUUAGUGCCCAU